GACGAACGCUGGCGGCGUGCUUAACACAUGCAAGUCGAACGGAAAGGCCCUGCUUUUGUGGGGUGCUCGAGUGGCGAACGGGUGAGUAACACGUGAGUAACCUGCCCUUGACUUUGGGAUAACUUCAGGAAACUGGGGCUAAUACCGGAUAGGAGCUCCUGCUGCAUGGUGGGGGUUGGAAAGUUUCGGCGGUUGGGGAUGGACUCGCGGCUUAUCAGCUUGUUGGUGAGGUAGUGGCUUACCAAGGCUCUGACGGGUAGCCGGCCUGAGAGGGUGACCGGCCACAUUGGGACUGAGAUACGGCCCAGACUCCUACGGGAGGCAGCAGUGGGGAAUAUUGCACAAUGGGCGGAAGCCUGAUGCGGCAACGCCGCGUGCGGGAUGACGGCCUUCGGGUUGUAAACCGCUUUCGCCUGUGACGAAGCGUGAGUGACGGUAAUGGGUAAAGAAGCACCGGCUAACUACGUG
RNAcentral lists this ribosomal RNA (468 nucleotides) under uncultured bacterium. Its description in RNAcentral is "partial 16S ribosomal RNA". It matches the Rfam family "Bacterial small subunit ribosomal RNA", at positions 28 to 507 of the family's 1533-position model. The record is from RNAcentral.